This 576-nucleotide ribosomal RNA is filed under the name Microcharidius sp. 44 aff. crespoi CA-2017. RNAcentral describes it as "partial large subunit ribosomal RNA". The stretch from base 335 to 493 matches the Rfam family "Bacterial large subunit ribosomal RNA", at positions 2473 to 2632 of the family's 2925-position model. Lineage: Eukaryota; Metazoa; Arthropoda; Insecta; Coleoptera; Carabidae. The record is from RNAcentral.
GGCCGCAGUAAUUUGACUGUGCAAAGGUAGCAUAAUCAAUAGUUUUUUAAUUAAAAGCUUGUAUGAAAGGUUGGACGAGAUAAGAUCUGUCUUUUUUUAAUUAUAUUAGAAUUUAAUUUUUAAGUAAAAAAGCUUAAAUAUGUAUAAAAGACGAGAAGACCCUAUAGAGCUUUAUAUUAAAUUUUUAAUAAUUAAUAUAGAUUUAUUUAUUUUAUUGAUUUUUUAUUAUUAUAUUGGGGUAAUAUAAAGAUUAGAUUAAUUCUUUAUUAAUUUAAAUAUUAAUUUAUAAAUUUUUGAUCCAUUAAUAUUGAUUAUAAGAUUAAGUUACCUUAGGGAUAACAGCGUAAUUUUUUUAGAGAGUUCAUAUUGAUAAAAAAGUUUGCGACCUCGAUGUUGGAUUAAAAAUUAAUUUAGGUGCAAAAGCUUAAAUGUUUGGUCUGUUCGACCAUUAAAUUUUUACAUGAUCUGAGUUCAGACCGGUUUAAACCAGGUCGGUUUCUAUCUUUAUUUAAUGAAAAUAUUUUAGUACGAAAGGACCAAAUAUUUAUUAAAAUAAUUAUAUUUUUGAAAUUUAUU